UAAGGAAUAUUGGUCAAUGGACGAAAGUCUGAACCAGCCAUGCCGCGUGGAGGAUGAAGGCCCUCUGGGUUGUAAACUUCUUUUAUUUGGGACGAAACACUCUUUUUCUAAAGAGCUUGACGGUACCAGAUGAAUAAGCACCGGCUAACUCCGUGCCAGCAGCCGCGGUAAUACGGAGGGUGCAAGCGUUAUCCGGAUUCACUGGGUUUAAAGGGUGCGUAGGCGGAUUUGUAAGUCCGUGGUGAAAUCUCUAAGCUUAACUUGGAAAUUGCCGUGGAUACUAUAAGUCUUGAAUAUUGUGGAGGUUAGCGGAAUAUGUCAUGUAGCGGUGAAAUGCAUAGAUAUGACAUAGAACACCAAUUGCGAAGGCAGCUGGCUACACAACUAUUGACGCUGAGGCACGAAAGCGUGGGGAUCAAACA
RNAcentral lists this ribosomal RNA (422 nucleotides) under uncultured Chitinophaga sp. RNAcentral's name for it is "bacterial SSU rRNA". It matches the Rfam family "Bacterial small subunit ribosomal RNA", at positions 355 to 774 of the family's 1533-position model. The record is from RNAcentral. Lineage: Bacteria; Pseudomonadati; Bacteroidota; Chitinophagia; Chitinophagales; Chitinophagaceae.